This is a non-coding RNA of Acanthosepion pharaonis, 113 nucleotides long. Lineage: Eukaryota; Metazoa; Mollusca; Cephalopoda; Sepiida; Sepiidae. The record is from the annotation of a GenBank genome assembly.
UACGGCCGUAUCACUUUGAAAUGUAGGUUCCCGUAUGUUCAUCGAAGUUAAGCAACGUCGAGCCUUGUCAGUACAUAGAUGGGAGACCGUUUGGGAAUACCAGAUGCUGUAAG